RNAcentral lists this ribosomal RNA (2845 nucleotides) under Lactobacillus delbrueckii subsp. bulgaricus ATCC 11842 = JCM 1002. RNAcentral describes it as "bacterial LSU rRNA". It matches the Rfam family "Bacterial large subunit ribosomal RNA". The record is from RNAcentral. Lineage: Bacteria; Bacillati; Bacillota; Bacilli; Lactobacillales; Lactobacillaceae.
AAGGGCGCACGGUGAAUGCCUUGGCACUGGAAGCCGAUGAAGGACGCGACUAACCGCGAAAGUCUUCGGGGAGCCGUAAGUAGGCUUUGAUCCGGAGGUCUCCGAAUGGGGGAACCCAGCAUGUGCAGACAUGCUAUCCUUAAGUGAAUACAUAGCUUAAGGAGGGAACACGCAGUGAACUGAAACAUCUAAGUAGCUGCAGGAAGAGAAAGAAAUAUCGAUUUCCCAAGUAGCGGCGAGCGAACAGGAAAGAGCCCAAACCGGCAGAUUUAUCUGCCGGGGUUGUAGGACUGAGACAUGGCACUUCAGAGGAUAGCAGAAGCGUUUGGGAAAGCGCGCCAGAGAGGGUGAGAGCCCCGUAAGCGAAAUCCAAAGAAGGCCUAUCAGUAUCCUGAGUAGGGCGGGACACGUGAAAUCCCGUUUGAAUCCGCGAGGACCAUCUCGCAAGGCUAAAUACUAACCAGUGACCGAUAGUGAACCAGUACCGUGAGGGAAAGGUGAAAAGAACCCCGGGAGGGGAGUGAAAGAGAACCUGAAACCGUGUGCCUACAAGUAGUCAGAGCCCGUUAACGGGUAAUGGCGUGCCUUUUGUAGAAUGAACCGGCGAGUUGCGUUAGUCAGCAAGGUUAAGUCAGAAAAGACGGAGCCGUAGCGAAAGCGAGUCUGAAGAGGGCGAGCAGUUGGCUGACGCAGACCCGAAACCAAGUGACCUACCCAUGACCAGGUUGAAGGCGCGGUAAAACGCGCUGGAGGACCGAACCCACGUAAGUUGAAAAUUGCGGGGAUGAGUUGUGGGUAGCGGUGAAAUUCCAAACGAACUUGGAGAUAGCUGGUUCUCUCCGAAAUAGCUUUAGGGCUAGCCUCGCAAAGAGGAUGCUGGAGGUAGAGCUCUGUUUGGACUAGGGGCCCGUCAAGGGUUACUGAAUUCAGAUAAACUGCGAAUUCCAGACAUUUAUGUGCGGGAGUCAGACUGCGAGUGAUAAGAUCCGUAGUCGAAAGGGAAACAGCCCAGAUCACCAGUUAAGGUCCCAAAAUUCAUGCUAAGUGGAAAAGGAUGUGGAGUUGCGCAGACAACUAGGACGUUGGCUCAGAAGCAGCCAUCAUUCAAAGAGUGCGUAAUAGCUCACUAGUCGAGUGACGCCGCGCCGAAAAUUUACCGGGGCUAAGCAUGAUACCGAAACUGUGGAUGUGCAUUUAUGCACGUGGUAGGAGAGCGUUCUAGCGGCGGUGAAGCAUGACCGAGAGGACAUGUGGAGCUUCUAGAAGUGAGAAUGCCGGUAUGAGUAACGAAAGACAGGUGAGAAUCCUGUCCGCCGCAAGACUAAGGUUUCCUGGGGCAGGCUCGUCCGCCCAGGGUAAGUCGGGACCUAAGGCGAGGCCGAGAGGCGUAGUCGAUGGACAACAGGUUGAAAUUCCUGUACUGCACCGAAUCGUUAUGAGCGAUGGAGGGACGCAGGAGGCUAGCAGCGCGUGGUGCUGGAUACCACGUUCAAGCGUCAAGUCUGAGAGCGAGUCAAAUGCUUGCUCUCAUAAGGACAAGGCGUGAUGAGGAGCGAAAUUAAAGUAGCGAAGGCUGCGACGUCACACUGCCGAGAAAAGCUUCUAGCCAGAGACGGUGCACCCGUACCGCAAACCGACACAGGUAGUCGAGGAGAGUAUCCUCAGGUGAGCGAGAGAACUCUCGUUAAGGAACUCGGCAAAAUGGCCCCGUAACUUCGGGAGAAGGGGCGCUGGUCGCAAGAUCAGCCGCAGUGAAAAGGCCCAAGCAACUGUUUAUCAAAAACACAGGCAUCUGCAAAAUCGUAAGAUGAAGUAUAGGUGCUGACACCUGCCCGGUGCUGGAAGGUUAAGAGGAGAGCUUAGCGCAAGCGAAGGUUUGAAUUGAAGCCCCAGUAAACGGCGGCCGUAACUAUAACGGUCCUAAGGUAGCGAAAUUCCUUGUCGGGUAAGUUCCGACCUGCACGAAAGGUGUAAUGAUUUGGGCACUGUCUCAACGAGAGACUCGGUGAAAUUAUAAUACCCGUGAAGAUGCGGGUUACCCGCGACAGGACGGAAAGACCCCAUGGAGCUUUACUGCAGUUUAAUAUUGGGUAUCUGUCAAGCAUGUACAGGAUAGGUAGGAGCCGGAGAAGAUAGGACGCCAGUCUUAUCUGAGGCGCUGUUGGGAUACUACCCUUGCUUGACGGAUGCUCUAACUCAGGCCUGUGAUCCAGGCCGAGGACAGUGUUUGACGGGCAGUUUGACUGGGGCGGUCGCCUCCUAAAGUGUAACGGAGGCGCCCAAAGGUUCCCUCAGAAUGGUUGGAAAUCAUUCGCAGAGUGUAAAGGUAAAAGGGAGCUUGACUGCGAGAGAGACAACUCGAGCAGGUACGAAAGUAGGGCUUAGUGAUCUGGUGGUACCGCAUGGAAGGGCCAUCACUCAACGGAUAAAAGCUACCCUGGGGAUAACAGGCUUAUCUCCCCCAAGAGUUCACAUCGACGGGGAGGUUUGGCACCUCGAUGUCGGCUCGUCGCAUCCUGGGGCUGAAGUCGGUCCCAAGGGUUGGGCUGUUCGCCCAUUAAAGCGGCACGCGAGCUGGGUUCAGAACGUCGUGAGACAGUUCGGUCCCUAUCCGUCGUGGGCGCAGGAAAUUUGAGAGGAGCUGUCCUUAGUACGAGAGGACCGGGAUGGACGCACCGCUGGUGUACCAGUUGUCUUGCCAAAGGCAUCGCUGGGUAGCUAUGUGCGGACGGGAUAAGCGCUGAAAGCAUCUAAGUGCGAAGCCCCCCUCAAGAUGAGAUUUCCCAUUUCUUCAAGAAAGUAAGACACCUCAGAGACGAUGAGGUAGAUAGGCCGGGAGUGGAAG